CUAAAUCAUACAAGUUAGAAGAAGUAAAGAUACAAAAAAAUAAACCAGUUUAUGAAUCAUAUUGUGUAUGUACAUAAACCGUAAGCUUGUCAUUGCCAAUUUAAUCGAAAAUAGGUAAAACUUGUUACACAAAACCCUAUAAACGACAUAAGUUUAGUUUAGUUCUUACAAAAAAUUAUUUUGAGAUGAUAAUAGAAAGUACAAUUUGAUUUUUCUUAAAAGCCUAUGUUCAAAUAUUCUACACUUUAAAAUAAAAGAAAAUUAUUAAACAAAAAUUAUACCUAGAAGGAGUGUGAAAAAUGGUAGGUUUAUUAGCGGGAGAAAUGAGAACCAUGACAAUAUCAACAUCGCAUAGCAAUGCUAAUUCUUCUGCCUUCUUUAAAAUCCCUUUCUUACGUUUUGAGUAUUUAUUGCUUCUCUCUUUUGGGCACUCGAUUUUCUUCAGUUCUAUUUUCAUCUUCCCAAUUUUCUCUUCUUUUUCGAUUUUUUUAUUUUUUUAUUGCUUAUUUUUGGACAAACUUUUUCGAUUUUAUUUAUUCACUCUUCUUAGACUUAUAUUUUUUGGGUGCUCUCCUCAAUAUAAAAAGGGUUUGGACAAAAUUUAUCUUGGAUUCACUAAAGAUGUGAUUGAAAGAAAAUCUUCAUUAGAUUAAAAUGUUAUUUAGUAGAAAUCAUUGUCCUUAAUACUUUUAGAUUUGGUUUAAAAGAGGUAUGAUUUAUUAAUAUUAUUGUAAUUUAAUUGAUGUCAUUAGUACUCCACUAAAAACUAAUAUGCUUUUUUCAUUGACACACAAGUAUAUAUUAUUUUAUUUUUUGUCAACUAUAUAUUAUUAUGUUCAUCUUGACAAUACAUAUUUUCUUGGAUUAAAAUACAUAUCACACAAAUUUAAUUAUUUAUAAUAUUAUAUGAGCAGGUAAAAAAUCUGUAUAAUCAUAAUCGAUGUGACACUAUGACUACAUUUUUAAAUGUAUCUAAUUUUCUGUAUAUAAAUUUUCACAAAAAUAUAUCAGAGUGCUUUCAAUUUUUUAAUGGCUGACAGUAAAACCAAUUAAAAUAUGGUUAAUAAAUAUAGCUUAAUUAGUUAUUGUUUGUUGAAUAAAUCUAUAUAUAAAUGUUUGACUAUAAACUACAAAAUGUAUUAUACAAUACCUGUCACGCGAAAGAUGAUCAAUUACUAUGGGAUCUUCAGUAUUGUUUUUGUCCACCAAAAUUUUUAAAGUCUUUAUAAAGGUUACAUACAAAAAAGGGUAAUGACUUAGUUUUUUGUUACUAACUUAAGUUGUCUUAAUUUUCUUGUAUUCAGAAUUUAUUUUUACAAAACAUUAUAUUACAUGUAUAAACUUAUAUAUGAAUAACCCAAUAACUCAUAAGUACAAAACUAAAUUGUACACCGUAUUAAACUUCCUUACCUCUUAUUUCAAAAUGAUAUAACUGAGCGUAAGAAAGAAAUUGGCAAAUGAAAAAAUCAGAAUUUAUUUAAUAAAUUUAAUGUGAUGAGUAAAUCAAACCCUUAUUGUGUAGGCUCUCCUAAAUGCGUGCAUACAACACCAAAAAUAUCAUAUAUUAGUUUUUAUAUAAAUAAAAAAAAUACAAUGAAAUUAUGCAAAGUACUUAAUGUAAUAGUAAUACGACAAUCAGAAAGAUCAAACCUCUCUUCAUGUUCAUGUAUUGAAAUGUUACGGAAGUCCUUCAAGAUCUGACUCAAAUUUCUGCAAUUUUUCAUAAGCAUAUUUUUACCGGAAUAUAUGUAAUUUUAUGCACAUUUUAUGUCAUAUUUUGUGAAAAUAAAUGUAAAUUUUAAGCAUUUUUUAAGAAAAAUUAUGAUUUAAUCAUAAUUUUUUUAUAAGACAUGCUCUAAAUCAUAUUAGUUAGAAGUAGUAAAGAUAAAAAAAAAAACCAGUUAAUGAAUCAUAAUGUGUAUGUACAUAAACGGUAAGCUUGUCAUUGCCAAUUUAAUGGAAAAUGGGUAAAACUUGUUACAUAAAACCCUAUAAAACGACAUAAGUUUAGUUUAGUUUCUUAAAAAUAUAUAUUUUGAGAUGAUAACAGAAACUACAAUUUGUUUUUUUCUUAAAAGCUUAUGUUCAAAUAUCGUACACUUUAAAAUAAAAGAAAAUUAUUAAACAAAAUUAUACCUAGAAGGAGUGUGAAAAUGGUAGGUUUAUUAGCGGGAGAAAUGAGAACCAUGACAAUAUCAACAUCGCAUAGCAAUGCUAAUUGUUCUGCCUUCUUUAAAAUCCCUUUCUUACGUUUUGAAUAUUUAUUGCUUC
This 2271-nucleotide long non-coding RNA is filed under the name Capsella rubella. RNAcentral's name for it is "long non-coding RNA (CRUB_LNC003011)". The record is from RNAcentral. Lineage: Eukaryota; Viridiplantae; Streptophyta; Magnoliopsida; Brassicales; Brassicaceae.